Molecule: long non-coding RNA, 469 nt
Filed under: Elaeis guineensis (African oil palm)
Lineage: Eukaryota; Viridiplantae; Streptophyta; Magnoliopsida; Arecales; Arecaceae
Description: long non-coding RNA (EGUI_LNC020787)
Source: RNAcentral
UGUUAAGGAACUGCUCGUUCUCUCGAAAUUUUCUACUUACCUGCAGUCCCUGCAACGAAUUGUAUAUAUUAAUAGGACUUUCAGUAUCCAAUACCCAGGUAGUAGUAUCACAAACAGAGAAAUUAUAAGAUGUUAUCAUAUAAGUACCUUGUAAAGCAACCGCUUGCUUUUUUCUCUUAUUUUUAAGCCUGUUUAGGUCAAGGGUGGCUAUAUAAGCAGGACAAUUCUUUUUUCAAUGGCCCAGCUUCUUGUAGAAGAAGUACUCUACCUGGCUCUUGUCAACUUUUGACAGUUUGCUCUACUUGGGAUCGGCGGCACGGGAUUUCUGUACUUUUUUUUUCUUUUCUCUCCUAGAGGAUCGAUGCCCUGUAGAUAAACCUCCCACUAAAUUCACUGAUUCUUUCUGGAGCUGGUGAUCCUUCUUAAAAGUCUGCAGUAACCCUAGCAAAUCAUGGUAGUUUAUCGCAGG